Molecule: long non-coding RNA, 1267 nt
Organism: Cyprinus carpio carpio
Lineage: Eukaryota; Metazoa; Chordata; Actinopteri; Cypriniformes; Cyprinidae
Source: Ensembl
CAAAGUUGAGGCUUGUUUGUCAUUAUCCACAUACAAGUUCUAAAGUCCACCUUAAGCUGAGCAUUAUUAGGUUCUUGCGCAGUUUUGACUUUAAAGGGGUUCUCUCAAUUUUAGGUUUUAAGUACCUGUCAAUGGAUUUCUGCAGGGGAAUUUCUACACGUUCCAUGCUUCACCUCUGUUGCCUGAGAAAAAGUGGCAGCUCAGACAGACAUCUGUAGCCAUAACAAAGUCUUAGUCAGAACAAAGGAAUUUUAAUGGGGUAAUGUGAGGUUGCCUGUGUUAUAUAUUAGAAUAGAUUCUUCAGUGAGGCAGAAGUGCACUACAAGCCCUAUUUUUAUAAGGAUCUUAUCACAAGCCACUGUGUGACGAGGAAACCUGAUCAUUUUUUGGCACACUACACUCACUCUGUGCGGUGCAGGUGCCUCCAGGCAAACCAUAUGCUUAAAAUAAAGAUUUUCCAGCUAAUAUGGCUUCUGAUGAAUUGCUGUUGUAAUAAAUGGUACAUUGAUUUCAGUGUUAUUUUGUAUUGUCUUGACACCUUAAAUGAUACAUGUAUUUCACUAUGGAUGUUAUUUUGAAAUUUCAAGUAACCUAUUGAUGUACUUAUUAGGGUGGAAAUUAGAUUUUAGAUUAUAAAUUAAUGUAAAUCAAUUUUUUUUUCGCUCUUAAAGCCUGAUGAGUGCCCUUCAGUAUUAUCUCUCUGAAUACUUUCAUCAGCUGUAUGUAGCUUCUUCUUCAUCAGAACAAGUUUGGACAUUUUUAGCAUUACAUCAGUUGCUCAGCAAUGGAUCCUCUGCAGUGAAUGGGUGUUCAAACAACUGAUUACAUUAUUCACAACAUGACUCCAGUCAAUUAAUGAAUGUCUUGUGGAAAAAAUGCAUGUUUGUAAACAUGCAUCAAAAUGUUGCUUCCAUCUAAAAUGCGAGUCCUCUAUUCAAAAUGCCUUAAUGAUGGAUUUGUUUAAUACAAAUGCAGCUUUUCACUUGACAAAAUAUUAAUUUGAUGGACUGGAGUUAAGUGGAUUAAUUGUGGAUUAUUGUGAUUAUUUUUUAAUCAACUGUUUAAACGCUCAUUCUGACGGCACCCAUUCACUGCAGAGGAUCUGCUGUUGAGCAAGUGAUGUAAUGCUAGAAUUCUCCAAAUCUAUUCUGAAGAAACAAACUCAUUUACACCUUGGAUAGCCUGAAUAAAUUUCCCCUUUCAAGCAGUAAUAAACUGCUGGAAUAAGCCUUUAACAUGCUCAGUUACACAUAAAACACACAGAGAC